GCUGAAAGGCAGGAGUGCCCGCAAGGGAGCGCGGAGACAGGUGGUGCAUGGCUGUCGUCAGGUCGUGUCGUGAGAUGUUGGGUUAAGUCCCGCAACGAGCGCAACCCUCACCCCUAGCUGCCACCGGGUAAUGCCGAGCACUCGAGGGGAACUGCCAGCGUCAAGCUGGAGGAAGGCGGGGAUGACGUCAAGUCAUCAUGCCCCUUACGUCCUGGGCUACACACGUGCUACAAUGGCCGGUACAAAGGGAUGCGAGACCGCGAGGUGGAGCCAAUCCCAAAAAGCUGGUCUAAGUUCGGAUUGCAGCCUGCAACUCGACUGCAUGAAGUAGGAAUCGCUAGUAAUCGCGCAUCAGCACGGCGCGGUGAAUACGUUCCCGGGCCUUGUACACACCGCCCGUCACACCACGAAAGCUGG
RNAcentral lists this ribosomal RNA (417 nucleotides) under NC10 bacterium enrichment culture clone inoc SFBR 2. RNAcentral describes it as "bacterial SSU rRNA". It matches the Rfam family "Bacterial small subunit ribosomal RNA", at positions 1000 to 1414 of the family's 1533-position model. The record is from RNAcentral. Lineage: Bacteria; Methylomirabilota (SeqCode).